UACGGGGGGGGCAAGCGUUGUUCGGAAUUACUGGGCGUAAAGGGUUCGUAGGUGGCCAACUAAGUCAGACGUGAAAUCCCUCAGCUUAACUGGGGAACUGCGUCUGAUACUGAUUGGCUUGAGUGCAGGAGAGGAACGCGGAAUUCCAGGUGUAGCGGUGAAAUGCGUAGAUAUCUGGAGGAACACCGGUGGCGAAGGCGGCAUUCUGGACCAAUAUUGACGCUGAGGAGCGAAAGCCAGGGGAGCAAACGGG
Molecule: ribosomal RNA, 253 nt
Filed under: uncultured bacterium
Lineage: Bacteria
Description: partial 16S ribosomal RNA
Rfam family: Bacterial small subunit ribosomal RNA
Source: RNAcentral